GUCUGGUGCCAGCAGCCGCGGUAAUUCCAGCUCUCAAAAUGCAUAGAAUUAUUGCUGCGGUUAAAAAGCUCGUAGUUGGAUCUGUGCCCCGCGGCGGCGGUCUCGUCCCGGGAGUACUGUCCCGGGCUAGGCUGUCUUCGUGCCGGUUUAGUCGCUGGUGGAUGCUGCGAGUUUACUUUGAACAAAUCAGAGUGCUCCACACAGGCGUCUCGCCUGAAUGUUCGUGCAUGGAAUAAUAGAAGAGGAUUUCGGUUCUAUUUUAUUGGUUUUAUGACUGAGGUAAUGGUUAAUAGAGACAAACGGGGGCAUUUGUACCGCUGCGUGAGAGGUGAAAUUCUUGGACCGCAGCGAGACGCACGACAGCGAAAGCAUUUGCCAAGCAUGUCUUCAUUAAUCAAGAACGAAAGUCAGAGGUUCGAAGGCGAUCAGAUACCGCCCUAGUUCUGACCGUAAACGAUGCCAACUAGCGAUCCGCCGGCGGAUCAUUCGCCCUGGUGGGGAGCUUCCCGGAAACGAAAGUCUUCCGGUUCCGGGGGAAGUAUGGUUGCAAAGCUGAAACUUAAAGGAAUUGACGGAAGGGCACCACCAGGAGUGGAGCCUGCGGCUUAAUUUGACUCAACACGGGGAAACUCACCCGGCCCGGACACCGCGAGGAUUGACAGAUUGACAGCUCUUUCAUGAUUCGGUGGAUGGUGGUGCAUGGCCGUUCUUAGUUCGUGGAGCGAUUUGUCUGGUUUAUUCCGAUAACGAGCGAGACUCUAGCCUGCUAAAUAGUCCAGUCAUCCCGCUAGUGACUGCCGACUUCUUAGAGGGAUUAUCGGCGUUCAGCCGCAAGAGACUGAGCAAUAACAGGUCUGUGAUGCCCUUAGAUGUCCGGGGCUGCACGCGCGCUACACUGGCGAAGGCAGCGUGCCUGUCCUCUCCCGAAAGGGAUGGGUAAACCAUUGAAAAUCGCCGUGAUGGGAUCGGAAAUUGCAAU
RNAcentral lists this ribosomal RNA (979 nucleotides) under Filenchus discrepans. RNAcentral describes it as "SSU rRNA". It matches the Rfam family "Eukaryotic small subunit ribosomal RNA", at positions 559 to 1590 of the family's 1831-position model. Lineage: Eukaryota; Metazoa; Nematoda; Chromadorea; Rhabditida; Tylenchidae. The record is from RNAcentral.